AACACGCCAACGGAGAGAUCACAUCGCAGAGCCAACGACACCCCCCUCCUCCACUCUUCAUCGUCGUGUCGACGACGUUAUUUUUCUUGUCCGCAGCUGACCCAUCACAAGGACGAAGCAAUGUAGACUGAGGACAGCCCGGCUGUGGGGCGUGCAGCAUUACCAACACCCUACGGGGUUAUGGUACUAUAUCUUUGAUCAUUGAGCACCUUUGAAGUAAAGUCUUUGGUUAGGAUCCCACACAAUCGACAAUCCAAUAUAAUAGCAUUGCAUUAAUUAGUCAUCUUGGAAAAGCAAGUUUUAACAUUCUACCGCGCCACGCUAUAUUAGAAGGAUCCUAUAAAAAAGACAAACGAAAAAAAAAGUCAGUCGUAAAUUAGUUAUGAGAGGAGUGGGUCCAUAUAUGGUGGUUGAUAAAAUCUGCUAAUUGAAGUAAAUGGUAAGCGAGCCUUGGGCUAUUUGACAUCUACGAAAAAUAACGACUCGUGCCAGGCGUCCUCGGACGCCUCGGUUUUGUCGAGGAGACCUGAGGAUUAGCAGUCAAAAUUUUUCGAACAAAGCAUGAUUUGAGCAAAUCUCACCCAGCACAAUAGAGAACGCCACGUCGUCAGGGUGCGCUUGCUUAGGAUGCCAGGAGCGAGAAAUAAAAAAAUUAAGGCUUGAUUGGUAGGCUGUAGACAGAAGCGUUACGUAGAUUAAGGUUUCGCUUGAUAUUUAUCGUCGAACAUCCACACUAUAUAUCAAAAGUUUCUCAGCUUAUAUCGAUUAUCGUAUUCUGGUAGUCGUUUUGAUGUAAGGCUUUUUUGUACGUUCAAAAGCACUUUUCAACAGACGUAAGCGAAUUGAGCGUCAUUCAAGCCAGUACUUCAGAGGCUUUCUUCCAAUUCUAUUUGAAUGUAAGUGAGAGGUUUUGAAUUUUCUUGUUUGCGCAUGAAGUGAAAGCCGGUAAAAGAUGUAGUUCCUAGGCGUGCCUGCUUGUGUGAGACCUGUUUCUGCAAAGAGACUUACGUACAUACAAGUGGGUCACACAAAGAUUAAUUUUAUUAUUUCAUUGAGUACCUUGAUUUUUGAAAACCUUCAAAAUCGCGCGUUAGGUUUUGGCCUAUGUAAGUCAUUCUUGCAUACGAGCGCUAGUGACAAAGUCUCUAAUUCGUAUAAAAAUUGAAACAGAAAACACUCACGUUCAAUUGCACGCAAUUUACUGAGUAAAUUGUUCUUUGAUUGUAUUUAAAAGUAAAAUUUAGUAUUAUAAUUCGCGAUUGUUACGUCUUACAUAUAUAUAUUUUUUAAAGAAGAUAUACACAAAUCUAUCUAAGCUUUCUAACGGUCACGAAGAAAGGCGCCCCUAGAGGGGGCGGGGGCGCCUCGGGCGAGAAUAAACCCGAUAUUGUCAACUGAUGUAGUUUAUUGGCGUUAUAUACUUUGAUAAUUCGAGAGCACAGCAAAAUUUUCCAUCGUAAUUUUGCAUUGAAACUUAGCCCCUACUAAGACUGAGGUAGGCACCUACAAGAUCCUGAUUUCUUCUUUCUUACGAUUAUACGAGAGGAUGCGAGAGAAAGAUUAAAAACCAUUUAUUGGGUAAUGCAGAGUCAUAUAUAGUACGAGAUAAUUCUCUUUGUAAGAGUGCGCAAACGUUUUAAAUUUUUGAUCGAAGCAGCGAUCGUCGAGCUGUGAUUCCUCUUAGAAAUAUACGGUCAUAGUGCUUGUAACACCGAAUAUUUCAAAAGUCCUUUAAAUGUGUGAUUAGGAGCCUUAUAUUAAACAGGAUAUACAACACUUUAUCAAUAUAACCAUUUAAUUACUGUUCUUUCGAAGUCAUUUUUUUAUACUCGAAACAAAUUUUGCGCAUCUUUGAGUCACUUUGCGAAGAUUAAAAAAGUAUGUAAUUAACACCUUGUCGUACUUGCUAUAUAGAUCUAUAUCUAAACAAUUAAGCAUUAGCCUAUUCGAUAAAUUACCAAGUUACACGAGAACAAAGAUCGACCCGAAAAACUGAAUAAAUAUUAAUACCUGCUGGUGUAGUCUAUUUAAUUAAAUCAUCUUUUACUAGAAACUAUUUAUCAAUUUAAAUAUUUAUUACAGACAACUGCUAAUUUUCUCAUCGAAUACUUUUUGUAAAAAAUCCUAUAGUCAUUAAUUUAUUUCCAUAAGUUUACGUCGUCCAAUAUUUUUUCAUUGUUUGAUUUUUUCAUAAAAGAGGGGCACUUUGAAGAUUGCGACUAUCCCAUGACUUUUACUGCGGUAAAAGUCAUGGGAUAGUCGCCGUCUUUGUAAGAUUUCUUUAUUAGAUAUAAUUCACACUAUUUUAUAAAGGUUUCAUGAUUUUCAACUAAUAAAUAAUUACAAGAAAUACAAAGAGAAUGUAAUGCGAAAAUAAGAAGUUGAUCUUAAAAUCGAGUUUGCAAUUUUGAAAAAAAAUCAUAAUAUCAGUAUACAAAGAAAUUUAAACUUAUGCCAUCUUCCAACUUGACAUAAAGUCUACUAACUAUAUUUAAUAAUACGUCACUAAUAAACGUUUUUCACGUAAGAACAGUUUGUUAGACGUUUCUUAAUUAAUUCUUUGUAGUUACUUUUUCUGAGAUAUUCUGAUCGCGUAAUACAGAAGCUUCGGUUAUUCAUGGUAGCUUCUUUUCCUUGGUCUAGUAAUUUAAAAACAAUUCGUAUUAAGUCUUAACUUGUUUAGGGUCGUCUCCGUGGAAUAUAAAGUAAAGUUGAAUAAUUUUCACGUUAUUCGGCUAUACUUUAUAUUCCAUGGAGACAUUCUAGCUUACGCGUCAUAACGAUGUAAUGUUUGAAUCUUCCGAGAAAAGCGAGAGUCCAUCGCGAUAGCCAUCCUUUGCUAUAAUAACUUCCAUUGAAUCUAAUAAAAGAACAUUUCGAGCACGUGUUCAGUCUUAACGAUUGCUUUCGAUAUUCAAAGAUUUUCUUGAACGUGAAAAAUCCACUGAGUGAGAUAUUAUAUUGAAACAAUUGAAUAUGCGGAGGUUAUUAGUAAAGGCACGCAUUGCUGCUCGAAGUUUAAAGAGAGUAUAGAAGACCAUUUUACAAAUAAAAUAAGUAAAUGUCUAAGCUUAAAGCCGGCCUUUAAUGGUGUAGCAAAACAAACAAAAAACUAUCGCACAUCAUUAACAUCUUACAAUAAGAAAGUGUUAUUAUUAACGAAUAUGUAUUUCACUAAUAAUGGACGUUACAUUGAUAUUGCAUUAUGAAUAAUUUUUAUAUUGCACUCGAGUGAACUUUUGCUUGUCACAAUAUAUUAUUCUACUAAAAUUCUUUGACUUCUUUAAAUUGUACGUUUGGCGUUCUUUUUGCAUACAUUUUUAUGUUUCUUUUUUUCGACACAUAAUUCAAUAUCACUUUAGAACAAUAAGCUGUAUUAGAUUGCACGAAUUCGGAACCCCACCAACGUAGACCUUAGUUCUUUAACCUAACAUAUUAAAAACAAUUGACUAUAAGAUUAAAACAACUUUCCAAAUUAUGCUUUUUGUAAGGUUGAAGAGUUAAGAUAGUCGUUAAUAAAUAUUCAUUAUGAGUCAGGAUUAGAUGUAAUUUUACUAGACUGUAAGAUUAUGUUCGAUCAAGAUUAAAAUGAAUACUACGUACGUUUUAAAUUGCUAAAUUUAAAAAAAUCAUCAAAUAUUCUGCUAAUUAAAAAUAAUAUUCAAAUGUUGACGAUUCAGUUGAUAACUUAUUAAAAAUAUGAAUCACUCUAAAUGUAUUUCUUAAUAUUAUUAAAUCUUUUCUGCAUACGCACAAUCUGUAGUUGAUAAUUACAUUUAAACUAGUAAAACAACUGCAUUUAUAACGCCAGCUUAACAUUCUUUGUUAGUCUUAAGAUUAGGAGAAUUGCUAUUAUUCAUAGUAACUCAAAGUUAAAUAUAACGUUUAAUUAUCAAAUUAAUCUUAUAAAUAACUAAGAUUACAAUGCAUAAUAAAAAUGCCAAUCUUAAGAUAUUAAGUAGCAGCUUAGGUUAAAUGUAAGGACCAUAAAAAAAAAUGAUAUGGUAAGAUAAAAACUUAAAGUUAGGACGAGAGUUUUACGGUUCGCGUAUAAAAUAUGGAUUUGAAAACAACUACACGAAAGACGUAAUUCUUUAAGCAAAUAAAAUGGAAAAUGAAUGUUUGUCCCUAACUUGUAAUAAUAUCGAUAAUAGGGUGAAUGGGAUCAAAAACCCAAGCAUAGGGUAACUACUAAACUCGACGAUAUGUAGUAGCUCGCAUUCAUUUAAUAGUCUUAAUAAGCUUAUGUCUUUGAUUGCUAUGCCACGGAGUAACAAUAAUACAUUUAAUCACAAAUAUUGAUUUUUAAUAAUUAUGAAUAUACUUAGAAAAUCACAACAAAUAUUGAUUUUUUAAUUGAUAAGUUGUUUUUAAAUAUUAAUGUGUGCUUAUAGUUAUUACAAAAACAAUAAGUGAGGAUAAUAAGUAAGUCAUAAUGCGUGACGAAAACCAGACAAUGCUUACAUCAAAUAAUAAAUUACUAAGCGUGUUUUUAAUAACAUAAUGAUAUCUAUGAAAAUAAUUAACGCAUAUAAAAACGUGAAAUAUAUGAAAAGUACUACAGCUAAAGGUUACACUUGCAUAUAUACCCCCACUGAAAUAACUACUGAUGAAUAAUUCUAUAAAGAAAAAAAAUUUAUAGUAAUUAUGAUGAUUCAUUAAAAUAAAUGGUGAAUAGAAAAGGCACCCAUGAUGUUACCUAAUGUAAACACCAACUACACAAAAACACUUUCUCACGAAGCAAUAAUUCGAAUUUCAUAUUUUUAAUUUCUAUAUAAUCUUCUUAAUCGUGAAAUCACUCAAGCACGAAUGUUACUACCUUCUUAAUUAAGGGCAGUGUUAUUAAACAAUCUUUAUCACUUCCAUCCUUAAUUUUUUUUUCUUGGCUUACUAUAAAAAUGUUCGUGUUUGGCUUCCAAUUUUCGUAUUUUUAUAUAUAACGUGCUUCAUCUACUCGACUUUAAACUUGAUUUAAUUGUUCGCUAUUUUAUUUAACGAGACAAUAUUGUAUAAUUAUUUCUUAAUACUCUACAAAUCUAUUCUUAAAACUAGAAGUCCGAGUUAGAUGAUUAAGCAUGAGUUAAUCGAUAUUAACUUAGGCGAUAACAAAGAGUAAAAAACGAUAAGUAAUUGCAUCAGCAGCCGUAGCAUUGGUUUAACGAGCUAUACGUGAAAAAUUGUAUCUCGAUAUCUAUAAAAACUUGAUAUCUAUUUGUCGUUCCAGCAUUACAAGAUUAUUACGCAUGAUUGAGGCAGUUAGGGGUAGAAAGUUAAGUAACGCAUCUUACAAAUAAAGCUUAUCGUUAGUGUUUGUGGUACAUUUGAUAGGAAUGAUCUAUGUAUGCUUAAACGCAGUGGCAUUAUAUUAUGUAAGGCAUGCGAGUUUGCGUAAUUAACUAUCACCAUAAUUAAAAAAGCAAGACGUAACAACUUUGUAUCGAGUGUUUAAACAUUGAGUGCUACACCGCGAUGACCGUCUCAGAUGAGAAAACACGAGUCUUUAUAUCAAGCAUUUUUGUAAAUGUUCAAUGUAUCUGCAAACGCAUUACAAUCUCUUACAAUGUAUCGAGAGCAGUGAGUCAGCGAUUCUUAUAUCCAAAAUAGAAACCACGUCAGAGAAGUAAAAGAAAACUCAUAAAUAAGGAACUUGGUUCCAACAGUUAAGAUGUAACAAUCGAUCAAAGGGUCUGUAACUUGGUAAUCUGCUGAAUUAAGCACUUUAAAAAAAAUAAGAAAAAUAUUCACACGUUUGAUGUCUCUUAAACUUAAUCUUCAUCACUGCAUGUGCAUUCCUAUGGUAGUGAUUAAUUACAGUCGGUUAAUCGCUUAAUUGAUCAAGAGGGAGGAGUCUAAUGUGUUGGAAAAUUAUUAAGCUAAAGCGUUUACGCGGGCAACAUGUAAAAGAUCUCUGUAGACCUGCAAAUUGAUAUUAGAUCUGUAUUUGACACAUUCAAAAGAUCGCAAAGAACAAUAAAAUUAUACAUUCAGAAACCCUUAUUUACGAUUUAUGAGGCUAUGAUCCAUAAUAAAUUGGUAUCAAUUACAUGUGAAACAAUAAAAAAAAUAAAUGUAAAACAAUAAAAAAAAAAAAAAAAUAAUAAACAAACAAACGAAAAAGAAAAAAUAAAACAAAAAAAAACAAAGAAAUGAGACAAGAGUUUUGUAGAACUGUUUAUUCAGAAAAGGUAAAGAUAAUAAAGAUGAAUCCAACAAAGAAAAUAA
Molecule: long non-coding RNA, 6222 nt
Organism: Phymastichus coffea
Lineage: Eukaryota; Metazoa; Arthropoda; Insecta; Hymenoptera; Eulophidae
Exons: 3
Source: RefSeq, a predicted model, not a curated record